GGGAAGGUACCUAAAGUAGUGCGUAUAGCACUCCAAACUGACAUUCUAGACUCUGUUGUACCCUUGUAGAACCAUAUAUAAUUAUAAUUAUAUAUGUUAAUUCUAUUAUUGUAUAACCCUCCACAAUAGUUUAGCACCCGAUAAUCUCCCUUGGAAAGGUGAGAUAACUCCGGGAGACUCACGGUCAACCAAGGGUCAAACUACUCUAACCCUGGUCAAAUGGACCUGCG
Molecule: long non-coding RNA, 230 nt
Filed under: Prunus persica (peach)
Lineage: Eukaryota; Viridiplantae; Streptophyta; Magnoliopsida; Rosales; Rosaceae
Description: long non-coding RNA (PPER_LNC005818)
Source: RNAcentral